Molecule: ribosomal RNA, 466 nt
Filed under: uncultured bacterium
Lineage: Bacteria
Description: partial 16S ribosomal RNA
Rfam family: Bacterial small subunit ribosomal RNA
Source: RNAcentral
GACGAACGCUGGCGGCGUGCUUAACACAUGCAAGUCGAACGGAAAGGCCCUGCUUGCAGGGUACUCGAGUGGCGAACGGGUGAGUAACACGUGGGUGAUCUGCCCUGCACUUCGGGAUAAGCUUGGGAAACUGGGUCUAAUACCGGAUAGGAGCCAUCUUUAGUGUGGUGGUUGGAAAGUUUUUUCGGUGUAGGAUGAGCUCGCGGCCUAUCAGCUUGUUGGUGGGGUAAUGGCCUACCAAGGCGGCGACGGGUAGCCGGCCUGAGAGGGUGUACGGCCACAUUGGGACUGAGAUACGGCCCAGACUCCGACGGGAGGCAGCAGUGGGGAAUAUUGCACAAUGGGCGCAAGCCUGAUGCAGCGACGCCGCGUGGGGGAUGAAGGCCUUCGGGUUGUAGACUCCUUUCGCUAGGGACGAAGCUUUGUUGUGACGGUACCUAGAUAAGAAGCACCGGCUAACUACGUG